GGAACUUCAAGAAGGUGAAAUGUCAAAGGCCCUGGUUGCUUUGAAUCCACAAGCUGCCUCCAUUCCAGUGCCCAAGCUAAAGAAUGUUAGCCGAUUACGAACAGAGCAUUUUGUGUAAGUAACAUAACUCAUCUCCUACUAAAUACCCUGGAAAUGCACUAAUGUAAUGUCAGGGAAAGAAAGUAAUGAAUACUACAAAAUCAAAACAAGCAAUUGGUAAAUAUAUAAUACAUGCUUGAAGCUUAACAGGCAUCAAUCGUCCAUACUGCUGUAGUGAAAUAAAUUCUAACAAUUUAUGCUGAUAUUGUGUUCGUUUCAUACAGAUACGAACUCCCUGAUACGCAUCCUCUUCUGGAAGGGGUUAGUUAUUACUGCAUUUGUAAAUCUAUUUCAUCCUAUAAGUCCAACUUUGAUUAAGUACUUGUACAUUACAGUGGGACACGAGAGAACCUGAUGAUCCUGGCAAAUAUCUUCUUGCUAUAUGGACUCCAGGUAGACAAAAAUAAUGAUCUCAUUACCUUGCCUCCUUCCAGAUGAAUUUAGAUGGGAUGUGAAGUCUUUGUUUUCAUUAUGCACCAAAAUUAAGUUGGGAAAUUUAAAAAUAUAUGAUUGUUUCGGUUUCCUGGUCUUUUCUAACUCAUUUUGCCACAUAAAUUAUAAAACUAGGCGAGACGGCAAAUUCAAUACAGCCACCCGAAUGCAAAUGCAGCUCACGUGAAGAAUGUGGGCAACUCUGCGACGAGAAGGAAUGUUUCUCAUGCAACAGUUUCCGUGAAGCAAAUUCACAGAUAGUCAGAGGGACACUUCUGGUAUGAAAGCAUAUCAAAUUAAUAAUUUUAACUGCAUGCUUACUAACUCUAAUUCAUUAUGAGGGUGGGGGCAUAUUUGCAUAUGAAUUCAAGCAUUAUAUUAUACCAACUUGAACUCAUAAUAAAUAUGAACAGAUACCAUGCCGAACAGCUAUGCGAGGGAGCUUUCCUCUAAACGGCACUUAUUUCCAAGUCAACGAGGUAUAAUAAUGUGAAAUCACAGAUUGCUAAGUUUAUACCCCUUUUAUAUAUUAUGUUUGCAAUUUAAGCAUCACUAACAUGUAUCAAUCAAAGCAGGUAUUUGCUGACCAUGAGUCGAGCCUCAAUCCUGUUAGUGUUCCCCGAAGUUGGAUUUGGCACCUCAAUAGGCGAACAGUAUAUUUUGGAACCUCCAUAACAUCAAUAUUCAAAGGUAAAGAAAGCAUACAAUGGUAAUAUAUUAUGGAAUACAUUUUUACUUUAUGUUAAACAACGAAGCUGAUUUUUUUUUUGGACAAACAGGCUUAUCAACACCUGAAAUUCAAUUAGCCUUUUGGAAAGGUAAGGUUUAAUUCAAAGAAUGUAACCUGCUUUGUUAAUUGAAUUAUCCCUCUUUAGCUUGUGUUUAUUGGUGCGAUUAACGUCGCCAGUUUGCAUUUCUUUUGACAUGCUACGGGAUCAAAGACUAAAGAAACACAUUUCUACAACUUUAUUUGAUAGAAACACGAUGCACUAUAAUGUGCAACCUCCCAUCUAUCGCCUAUAGGUUAAUUUUGCAAACAUUUAAUCAUCUGUUCUAGAACAAGUGGGUGCAUACCAUAGAAGGAAUUUAUAAUACAAGCCAUUUUUUUAGUGCUUCUACUAAAGCUUGCUUCUUUGGCAUAAGUUAACAAAAGUAUGCAUAUAAGAUCAAGGCAUCAUCUAGCAAAUCAAACAAAAAUAUAACUGCCUUCACAAGCAAUAGGAGAUAUAUUAAAUACAGCCUAAUUACUAGGGUAAAUUAUUUGUGUAACAAAGAGUUAUCAACUUGUUUCUUGUCUUCAUCUCAUCCAAAAGCAUUUUAUUACCUAGUCAGGUCUACCUGACAACUUGCACUGUUUAAAAUUUACCACAGAAGCUAACCAUAGUGCACUUCUAGCAUCAAAACUCAUUAACUGAUAACUGAAAACCUCAAUAGCAACUUCCACUUUGCCAUUGCAGUCCAUUCUAAAACUACUGUCUGAUAACUCAAGCAACCUUGAUUUCUCUUCUUUUUUAUUCCACUCAUUUAAUAGUUUCCAUAAUUCAUCUUCUAUUUUCGUAAUGGAAGGUUCGAAAACGAACACAAAUGCACAUGCACACAUACAUUAAAAUGUUUUCAGCAAGAAUGUCUGACUUUUGCAUAGAUUUUUAACAAACUCUCCAUUUUGCAUUAAGACACUAUGAGUAUGUUAAUCUUAAUUUGUUGCUUUUCUGACCUUAACAUGCAGUUCUUGCCUAGAUUACCAUUAUGAACUUUUUUCUAUCAAUGAGCCACUUCUGUGAAAUAAAAUUAAACUAGGUGUAAGGGCUUCGGAAGUUAACAUUAACUAAGGCAUAAAUGCCAAACGAUCAAGAAUUGUUCUUCCUUGACAGGAGGAACCAACAUAAUAGAAAGGUGUCCAAAUGACCUAACAGGUGCUGAAAAUGCUUUGUAGGUUAUCUUUGUGUGCGAGGGUUCGAAAGGAAAUCGCGAGCACCGCGUCCUCUGAUGGCUAGACUACACUUCCCAGCUAGCAAAUUGGCCAAAACAACCAAAGAGAAGACAAAAAAGGAGCCAAGUCCAGCGAAGAAACCACAAGAACCAAAACCAAAUCCUGAACAGCCAGAGCUGAUUUCAAACAGUCCCCCCCUUCAAGAGAAAGGAACAGCCUGAAGACUUGCCUAUAUUACUCAUCCUGCACUGUGGUGCCUAGUAGCAUGUAUGUAAAUGAUAAUGACAAAGUCAUUAUUUAUUCUAACUUUUAGCUCCUCUUAUCAUGCUCUAUACCAAGCAGUUUCUUCAACAUUAUUAGGUAGGUUCUUAUAAUGUAUCAUCGGUAGCAACAUAAGAUCUAGAUUCUUGUUUCCAAUGUAAUGCCAUAUCAAAAGAACCGGGCUACUCGCACGAGUUGGGGGCUAACUCUUGCGAGGAUAUGCCCUAGAAUAUUCUCUUGAUUUUAGGACAUAAUAAUAACUUCAUAAGCGCCUCUUGCAAAUUUAAUUAGAAUUUUCAUUCAUUGGCAUUCCAUUAAUAACAUGUAAACAAACAAAAUACUGCAAACAGAAAAUGUCCUCUCUUUGAUUAACUCACCAGUCCAAUUUUUUUAAUCUAAUAGCAACAAAAAUAGAUCUCAACUCUUUCAAAAUUUUAACCUUACUAAAAUAGCAAAAAAAAUUGGAGUUUGUAUUUUCUCAAUUCAAAUCCCCUUCCAUCUCUCUCUCUUUAUUUAUUUUUGUCAAUCUUUUACGAUAGAUUAGAAGUUUAUAUCAUUUAGAUCAUACAUGUAAAGUUUUACACAAUUCUAAAAUAAUUUGAUAAAGUAUUGAGACUUAUGAAGAUCAAUGAUUUUUAAAACGUUAAUUUUGAUGUAUUUCAAUAAUAUAUUAAAUAAUUUUAGAUUUGUAUAAAAUUUUAUAUAAAUAAAAGUUAAAGAAAUAGAACAGGCAAUUUUGAAUCGGGAGGAUUCAAAUUUCAAAAAUUGUCUCCAAUCAAUCUAAAUGCGUGUGUGUGUAUAUAUAUAUAUAUAUAUAUAAUUGUAACUUCUAACACUACGACCUUUCUGCAGCUAAAGAAAAGCAAUAAAAACAAUCAAAAUCCCACGGAUGCAGCUAUCUUAGAAAUACACGCUUAGUUAUACCAAAACAUGAACACAAAAUAAAUAAUAAUUAAAUAAUUAGUGUAGUAAAAGACAGUUAUAUGAAUUGAAACAAUCCCUAUAUGGAGUUGAGAUUUCGAUUUCAAUUGAAAAAAACGAAAGAGAAAGAGAGUGGAGGUUUGGAUCAGGAAGCAUACCUUUCAAAUUUUGGCGCGUGGAAAGGAACAGAGCGAAUCUAGAAAAAAUUGAAUCACUGCAUAGAUUGAAAUGCACGAUGCUAAAAAGGAGAAGUGGCGGUGAGAGAAGGGAAGUGCGGGUUUUGGUGAGAAGAUGAACAAAUUGCCGCUCUUCACCGCCUUAGCGCCAUUUUAAUUUUUUUUCCGCUUGUUUUUUGAAGAUUUUUCAUACCCUACUCUUAGUCCCUUUAUCUUCAAUUUAUUUUUUUAUAAACAAAAUUUAAGGAGAUGAAAGGUGACGGUUUUUCGAUCUAAC
RNAcentral lists this long non-coding RNA (4096 nucleotides) under Cicer arietinum (chickpea). RNAcentral describes it as "long non-coding RNA (CARI_LNC001138)". The record is from RNAcentral. Lineage: Eukaryota; Viridiplantae; Streptophyta; Magnoliopsida; Fabales; Fabaceae.